Molecule: long non-coding RNA, 824 nt
Organism: Mus caroli (Ryukyu mouse)
Lineage: Eukaryota; Metazoa; Chordata; Mammalia; Rodentia; Muridae
Source: RefSeq, a predicted model, not a curated record
GCGGGUGGCCGAGGCCGUGCGCGCCUGGGGAGCCGGGGACGCGCCUGAGUCACCGCCGCACAGAACCUUCCAGGAGCCCCAGGCGCAGUUAGGAGGGGGGGGCAUCGCGGAAUAAGGAAACCGAGGCACGCAGACACCCCCGCCCCCGGGGGGAGAUUGCAACAAGGGCUCUUGAGCUGACUGCAAGGGUGAGGGCGAGCAUUUGUGGCGGAGGCAUUCAGCCCACAGUUUGGCAGGGAGCGGCUGCUGGGUGACAGGCGGUUGCUACUUUAAAACAGUCACCAUUAUUACCACCGCUGCUGCAGAGAGGUGUCUAGGAGCUGGGAUGUUGUGAUCUCCCCGGCUCCGGAGGGAACCAAGCCGAGGCUGAGCAAAUCUGAGAUGGAAACUCAUGCUCUCCACUUUCUGAAAGCAGUCUGCCCCUGAGCCCCCUCGGAGUCUACCCCGGAUGGAUGGGAUGAAGGAAGCCAGAGACUGUUUUAUGCAGCCUUUUCUGAAUGGCCAGUUUAUGCAGUGAUGGAGAUUGAACCCAUGACGUUGUCGACGUGAGGCAAAUGCUCUGCCAACAGAGCUAUUCUAAGGCCAUUAUUUGACUUUAUGAAGACAGGGUCUUGUUGAGUAGCCCAAGUUGGUCUGUACCCUUUCGUCCUCUGGCCUCAGCCCCUGGGGAGGGCUCGCAUCUGAGUCCCUGCCUCCACAUCCAGUUUAGACUUGUUAAGUCUUUGCAAGACACUAUCCUUGGGCUUCAAUGAGCCAUCACCCUUCUCUCUCCCGUUUAUGUCUGUGUCUGGUCUGCUGUGAUUCCCUGCAGGCUCCAUAAACUC